GCUAGUGUAGUGUAGUGGUUGAGUGUCGGACUAUGAUUCUGGAGACCGGGGUUCAAAUCCCCACCUUGGGCA
This is a non-coding RNA of Phrynosoma platyrhinos (Desert horned lizard), 72 nucleotides long. Lineage: Eukaryota; Metazoa; Chordata; Lepidosauria; Squamata; Phrynosomatidae. The record is from the annotation of a GenBank genome assembly.